CCCACUAAAAAUAACCCACCAUCAGCCGUACAUCUUGCGAUAUGGGCUAAGAAGAUAACUACCGUGAAGAAAGAGAUCGAUCUCUCACCUCUAAACCUAGCGCCGCCAUGCCGCGACGCCUCCUCUGCCAAGCUCCUCUCCUUCCAAUCCCCCGACUCGCCAUCGUAGGUCCACCGCCCUGCGCUCGCCGGGCGCCAGCAGCAGCCCCGGGGACGCUGUCCUCCAGGCGGCGCCCCAGCCCCAGUACGCCCGUCCUCCAGGCGGCGGUCAGCCCCAGUACGCCCGUCCUCCAGGCGACGGCCCAGCAUCAGGAACACGGUGAUUUGGAGGCCACGAGGGAUCCUGCGAUCGAGCGCACAAGGCCUGGUCACUGGAUCUUUAGCAAUAGCUUGGCCAGUUCAUCUGUAGGUGAGUCGAUCUACAUUUACUUUUCAGCUGUUCUAUCAAUUCAUUCAAAGUAAAAAAUUGGAGCCUCUCCCUUCGCGCGUAAUUAAUUGUGGAGGAGAAUCUAACACUGCACGUACUUCAGAUUAUCUAUAUUAAGAUAGGACAACACUACUUUGUCUUUUUUUGAACUCUUUUUUUACUAAUUAUACCACUGGUUCAAUUAAAUGUCGAUCUUACACAUAGCUUACUUCGUUGUUUUCUCCCAAAUUAUGGACACUCACGUAUGCGGGUGUUUGAUAAACAACCUCUGAGAAUACCCCGAUAAUACAAGAUGGUCAGUGUUCUUUACGAACCUUUCUUUUUCAUGUGGUUAAUAAUCAAAGCUCGUGUAUCAACUACCAAAGCACCUCAUUCCCACCAUAAAUGAAAAUGAGAAUUUUGCGCCCAUGUUCUUAUAUUUUCUGGAAUAAGCAUGCCUUCUACUAUCAUACAUGUAGGGCCCGUUUGGAUGCAAAGUAUUUUCAAAGUAUUACUAGAAUACCACAGUUUUUUUCUUUAAAACAGUACUUUUGAAUACUUUGAGGUGUUUGGCUAUACCAAAAACUGUAGUUUCAUAAACGGUCGUAUUGUUGAUACUAUGGUUUUUUUGGAGUAUUAAAAAAAGAGGUCCGUACCUCUUUUUUUCUCAAACUGAGGAAAAGACGCUCGUGCGGCAUCCGUUCGUUCACUACCGUGCAGCUUGGUUUGUAAGCAUAUAACUAAUCAUAUGGCAGUAUCCUUUCGUAGUAUUGAUUCAUUCCUUUCCAUCACAUGCACCAGACUAGUUAAACCAGGAUACUCAUUUAGUUAGCUAGGGCCGAUCACGUCCGCAACUUCCUCGCUCAGUGUUCAAAAGUCCUUACAGCGCUGCAUGCAGCUGGGCGGUCGUUAGCACACACUGAUUGAUCCGGUCGUGUAGCUCUAUAGUUGUAAUAUAAGUUAGAUUAAGUUGUGUAACUAUCAGUCAAAACUACAGUAAAACAACACCAGCCAAACAUAUCAGUAGUUUUCCUAAAACUGAGAGAAUUGCGGUUUUUUAAAAACUGUAGUAUUCAUUACCCAAGCAUUGCAAUACUGAAGUUUGAAAUACUAUGGUAUUCUUAAAACUACGCUGCCAAAAUAGGCCAUAGUUUCUCAUCUGCAAAACUUUUCUCAUGUUAUCUGAUAAAGAGCGCUCCCUGGAUGGAUAUAUUAUCAUGUUUGGUAAGAUUUAAUCAUAUGUGCUUAUGUGAAACAUCUGGGUCAGAUGCUUUGCACUAUGUCUGGAGCAGCUAAAUUGUGUGAUGCUCACUUAUGUAGAUGUUGUAUUAGACUGAAGAUUAUUAAUGUGAACUACCAUGAGAAUUCAGUCUCUUUAUGGUAAACUGUCGUCUUAUGUAGAGCUAGUAUUAAGGCUUAGAUAUUAUUAGUGUCAAAAACCAUGAGAACUCAGUCCCUGUAUGUUAAAUUGCUGUUAUUUCUGUACAUAUACUUCUUAGUAAAUUGUUGUUAUUUUUUCUUACAAAUAUACUUCAUGCAUUCUCACCUUUGCGAAUCCGUCAAUGACAUCAAGAUUUAUCUCUCUUUUUACAGUAUGUCUCUACACUUCAUAUGGUUACAUGACAUCUACCAGACUAGAUUGAACUUCUGCAGUGCAUGUUUACCUCGAUGAGGUACGUAAAUAUCGCUCUUCUCUAUUCUUAUGGUUGUCUGUUCAGCAAAGUAAAACUUACUAGUAGAAAUUCCAAUGAAUUUAUUUAUAUCUCAUUUGCCUUCCUUUGCAGAAAAAACUUCUAUGUACGGAUUUUGAAGGCAGCAACCACUAGGAUAAACUAGAGACGCAGAGAAAACAAGGAGCUAUUGUUCCAUUAUCAGCAUGUAGAUACUACAAGUCAUAGAUGUUUCAACUAGUUUGUGAGACAUGUAAUUCUUUUAUAGACGAUGUGUACAAUUGAGUUUAUAAGCUACUACUGGCUCCUUCUCUCAGUAAUGGUAUAAAACAACAUUAUUAUUUUGUGUGAUGACAUACAUCUUUUUAAUAUAUUCUGAUAUGUAAAUGAGUGUCAAAUUAUUUGGUAUUAGCAAGUAAUUUCAUUAAGCGCAAUUGAACAAUAAUUUUUUAUACAAUGUAAAUAGGAUAUAUCAUAUAUGCAG
Molecule: long non-coding RNA, 2559 nt
Filed under: Triticum aestivum (bread wheat)
Lineage: Eukaryota; Viridiplantae; Streptophyta; Magnoliopsida; Poales; Poaceae
Description: long non-coding RNA (TAES_LNC005752)
Source: RNAcentral